This 28-nucleotide small RNA is filed under the name Bombyx mori (domestic silkworm). RNAcentral describes it as "ovarian small RNA-35901". Lineage: Eukaryota; Metazoa; Arthropoda; Insecta; Lepidoptera; Bombycidae. The record is from RNAcentral.
UGUGCAUGCGUGCGCCGCUGUUGGCAGC